Molecule: ribosomal RNA, 253 nt
Filed under: uncultured bacterium
Lineage: Bacteria
Description: partial 16S ribosomal RNA
Rfam family: Bacterial small subunit ribosomal RNA
Source: RNAcentral
UACAGAGGGUGCGAGCGUUAAUCGGAAUCACUGGGCGUAAAGCGUGCGUAGGCGGCUUUGCAAGUCAGGGGUGAAAGCCCUCGGCUCAACCGAGGAAUUGCCUUUGAAACUGCUUGGCUUGAGUACUGGAGAGGCAGGCGGAAUUCCGGGUGUAGGGGUGAAAUCCGUAGAUAUCCGGAGGAACACCAGUGGCGAAGGCGGCCUGCUGGACAGAUACUGACGCUGAGGUACGAAAGCGUGGGGAGCAAACAGG